Molecule: long non-coding RNA, 482 nt
Organism: Solanum tuberosum (potato)
Lineage: Eukaryota; Viridiplantae; Streptophyta; Magnoliopsida; Solanales; Solanaceae
Exons: 2
Source: RefSeq, a predicted model, not a curated record
UGAGGUGACAAGUGAAUAAAUAUGAGUUGGCGAAUGAGGGGUGAACCGUAACCUUGGGAAUUGGGUAUUGUAAAUUAGUUCAUGAAAUACUCUACAAGGAGAUUUAACACGAGAUUUAUAUGAUAUGAAUAUAGGUUGAUCGAAUGAAAGUCGUAUAGAUUACUUGAGGUGACAAGUUUGGUAUCUCAACACAAGUACUAGAAUGCAGGUCACAUGGGUAAUGAUUUCUUUAACUAGAGCUUUUGAGUUGAUAAUUCGAGGUGAGACCCGCACUUGUUCGCGUGGACAACAAGUUAUUUAGUUGUUAUAAACAUUUCUUGGAAUUCUUAGAGUCGCUCCAUAGCAUUCCUUUUACUAGAAGUUAUGAGUAUUCUUUCAUAUUGUAAACUUGUGUCUAGUAUGAGACUUCUUAUGUUUGGAGUUGGAAUUAGUAUUUUUACUCUUCGAAUAGUCUAUUGAUGAAUAAAGUGGAUUAGUGAUGA